RNAcentral lists this ribosomal RNA (402 nucleotides) under uncultured bacterium. RNAcentral's name for it is "bacterial SSU rRNA". It matches the Rfam family "Bacterial small subunit ribosomal RNA", at positions 356 to 773 of the family's 1533-position model. The record is from RNAcentral.
GGGGAAUAUUGGGCAAUGGGCGAAAGCCUGACCCAGCAACGCCGCGUGAAGGAAGACGGUCUUCGGAUUGUAAACUUCUUUAAUUGGGGAAGAAAUAAAUGACCUACCCAAAGAAUAAGUCACGGCUAACUACGUGCCAGCAGCCGCGGUAAUACGUAGGUGACAAGCGUUAUCCGGAUUUACUGGGCGUAAAGGGCGUGUAGGCGGCUUAGCAAGUCAGAUGUGAAAUUCUUGGGCUCAACCCGAGAGCUGCAUCUGAAACUGCUGAGCUUGAGUGCUGGAUGGGAUAGCGGAAUUCCUGGUGGAGCGGUAAAAUGCGCAGAUAUCAGGAAGAACACCGGUGGCGAAGGCGGCUAUCUGGACAGUAACUGACGCUGAGGCGCGAAAGCGUGGGGAGCAAAC